This 462-nucleotide ribosomal RNA is filed under the name uncultured bacterium. RNAcentral describes it as "partial 16S ribosomal RNA". It matches the Rfam family "Bacterial small subunit ribosomal RNA", at positions 28 to 507 of the family's 1533-position model. The record is from RNAcentral.
GACGAACGCUGGCGGCGUGCUUAACACAUGCAAGUCGAACGGAAAGGCCCUUCGGGGUACUCGAGUGGCGAAUGGGUGAGUAACACGUGGGCGUUCUGCCCUGCACUCUGGCAUAAGCCUGUGAUACUGGGUCUAAUACCGAAUAGGACCACGCGCUUCAUGGUGUGUGUUGGCAAGCUUUUGCGGUGUGGGAUGGGCCGGCGGCCUAUUAGCUUGUUGGUGGGGUAUUGGUAUACCAAGGCGACGACGGGUAGCCGACCUGGGAGGGUGAGCGGCCACGCUGGGACUGAGAUACGGCCCAGACUCCUACGGGAGGCAGCGGAGGAGAAGAGAGCACAGUAGGCGCAAGCCUGAUGCGGCGACGCCGCGUGGGGGAUGACGGCCUUCGGGUUGUAAACCACUUUCAAUAGGGACGAGACGAAAGUGACGGUACCUAGAGAAGAAGCACCGGCCAACUACGUG